AAAAGCAAAUCUUUUUUUGUAAGAUUCUCAUUCCAUCAGUGCAAAAAAAAAAAGGGGAGAGAGAUAAGUCCCUCUGGCCUGGGCGAUUUCCGGUUGCCGGAUUGAUGCCUGUCCGUCACCGGCGUUCGUCGUGCACGGCGGCCAGAGGUGCAAAAGUGACACCAAAUCGGUUCCCAUUGUCCCUCUCACUCUGGAUUCGAGUUCUACACAAGCAAAAAAACCCUUUGGUCAUCGGAUCGAGCCACGGGAACCAUUCGGCUCCUAACUUUUCCGAACUUUGAGAAGGUAACGAUAUCCUUUCUUUUUUUAAUAUAUGUGUAUGUAUUGUGCGUGUGUGUGUGUGUUGAAUCCACUCGUGAGAUGAAAAUAAUCGAUUAAAAGAAUGAAGAAACAACCUUUUUUCUUUGAAAUUCUUCGAUUUCUCCUUUUUAUUUCUUUUGUCUGCCUAAAAAAGUUACAUUUUUUGCCUGGCUAUAUAUAGCCGAAUACAUUAUAUUUUUUGCUUCUGUUAUCAGCUUUUGCGUGUUGUUGUCUCCAUUCUUUUCCUUUUCCUUUGAUUUGUUUGCAGACUAGGAGUCAACGGCGGUGACAGAGGAGUUGGUGGAGGCAAACGGUAUGGGCGAUAGGACAAGUGUGGCUAGGGUUUUUCUUUUUUCUUUUCUUUUUUGUUUGUUGGUUUGGGCUAGGGUUAGGUUUUAGAUUGGGCUUUAGGGGUUAUAAAAUGGGCCGGGCAAAUUGGGCUUGUACACAUAUAAUAUAAAAGUUGGUGAUACAUAUAUUUAUGUUUUGUUAAAUUUUUAUAAUUAAUAUUUAAAAUAUUUUAUAAUUAAAUAAAAUUUGUAUAUUUUAAAUUAUAUAAUAUCUUCAAUCACAUACUUUU
Molecule: long non-coding RNA, 880 nt
Filed under: Gossypium barbadense (sea-island cotton)
Lineage: Eukaryota; Viridiplantae; Streptophyta; Magnoliopsida; Malvales; Malvaceae
Description: long non-coding RNA (GBAR_LNC010953)
Source: RNAcentral